RNAcentral lists this ribosomal RNA (395 nucleotides) under uncultured bacterium. RNAcentral's name for it is "bacterial SSU rRNA". It matches the Rfam family "Bacterial small subunit ribosomal RNA", at positions 505 to 898 of the family's 1533-position model. The record is from RNAcentral.
GUGCCAGCCGCCGCGGUAAUACGGAGGGUGCAAGCAUUAAUCGGAUUUAUUGGGCGUAAAGGGCGCGUAGGCUGAAUGGUAAGUCAGAUGUGAAAUUCCGAAGCUCAACUUCGGAGCUGCAUUUGAAACUGCCAAUCUAGAGGGUAGGCGGAGAAAACGGAAUUCCACAUGUAGCGGUGAAAUGCGUAGAUAUGUGGAAGAACACCUGUGGCGAAAGCGGUUUUCUAGCUUACAACUGACGCUGAGGCGCGAAAGCAAGGGGAGCAAACAGGAUUAGAUACCCUGGUAGUCCUUGCUGUAAACGGUGUACACUUGAUGUAGCUGGGCUCGAUCCUGGCUGUGUCGUAGCUAACGCGAUAAGUGUACCGCCUGAGGAGUACGCUCGCAAGGGUGAA